Molecule: non-coding RNA, 204 nt
Organism: Cinara cedri
Lineage: Eukaryota; Metazoa; Arthropoda; Insecta; Hemiptera; Aphididae
Source: the annotation of a GenBank genome assembly
CUGUAUGCACAAUAUUUAUCUAUAAUAUUUGGACUUAAAUGGUAACAUUAUAAUCAACGAUGAAGUUCUAAAGAAAGUCUUAAGUACCUAUACAUCAAUUAUAAGUAAACGUGGUGGUUGGGAUUAAUUCUCAUUCACACCCCCCCAAACUUUUUUUUUAGAUUCAAAAAUCUAAAUUUAUAUUAAUUGCUAAAAUUUUAAAAG